CCACUUUGUGAUUCAUGACUGGGGUGAAGUCGUAACAAGGUAACCGUAGGGGAACCUGCGGUUGGAUCACCUCCUUACCUGCAAGA
This 86-nucleotide ribosomal RNA is filed under the name Cronobacter sakazakii. RNAcentral's name for it is "partial 16S ribosomal RNA". The stretch from base 1 to 77 matches the Rfam family "Bacterial small subunit ribosomal RNA", at positions 1457 to 1533 of the family's 1533-position model. Lineage: Bacteria; Pseudomonadati; Pseudomonadota; Gammaproteobacteria; Enterobacterales; Enterobacteriaceae. The record is from RNAcentral.